CCCUUAGAUGUUCUGGGCCGCACGCGCGCUACACUGACGAAUGCAACGAGCUUAUAACCUUGGCCGAAAGGUCUGGGUAAUCUCCAAAUUUCGUCGUGAUGGGGAUAGAUUAUCGCAAUUAUUAAUCUUCAACGAGGAAUGCCUAGUAAGCGCAAGUCAUCAGCUUGCGUUGAUUACGUCCCUGCCCUUUGUGCACACCGCCCGUCGCACCUACCGAUUGAAUGGUCCGGUGAAAUCUCGGGACGGCGGCUUGGUCGCUUGCGUCCGACUGCUGAAACUUGAUUAAACCAUAUCAUUUAGAGGAAGGUGAAGUCGUAACA
RNAcentral lists this ribosomal RNA (320 nucleotides) under uncultured eukaryote. RNAcentral's name for it is "partial 18S ribosomal RNA". It matches the Rfam family "Eukaryotic small subunit ribosomal RNA", at positions 1470 to 1796 of the family's 1831-position model. The record is from RNAcentral.